GGUUCCAUAGUAUAAUGGCUAGUACACACGACUGUUAAUCGUGGAAUGAUGGUUCGAUUCCAUCUGGAACUG
This 72-nucleotide transfer RNA is filed under the name Magnetococcales bacterium. Its description in RNAcentral is "tRNA-Asn". It matches the Rfam family "tRNA". From Rfam's summary of the family: Transfer RNA (tRNA) molecules are approximately 80 nucleotides in length. Their secondary structure includes four short double-helical elements and three loops (D, anti-codon, and T loops). Further hydrogen bonds mediate the characteristic L-shaped molecular structure. tRNAs have two regions of fundamental functional importance: the anti-codon, which is responsible for specific mRNA codon recognition, and the 3' end, to which the tRNAs corresponding amino acid is attached (by aminoacyl-tRNA synthetases). tRNAs cope with the degeneracy of the genetic code in two manners: having more than one tRNA (with a specific anti-codon) for a particular amino acid; and 'wobble' base-pairing, i.e. permitting non-standard base-pairing at the 3rd anti-codon position. The record is from RNAcentral. Lineage: Bacteria; Pseudomonadati; Pseudomonadota; Magnetococcia; Magnetococcales.